Melanotaenia boesemani (Boeseman's rainbowfish) is the source of this 1000-nucleotide long non-coding RNA. RefSeq lists it as uncharacterized. The transcript is spliced from 3 exons. Lineage: Eukaryota; Metazoa; Chordata; Actinopteri; Atheriniformes; Melanotaeniidae. The record is from RefSeq and is a predicted model, not a curated record.
GCCAUACUUUUUCUAAGUGGACUAUUAUGAACUUUAACAUUUACAUGCUAACUGAGGUGUGGAGAGUCCUAAGAUGGAGCUGUAGGGUCUUUUGUAGUUUCUUCCGAGCAUUACAUAGUCUGACCUGGGACGUCCACUCCUGGGAAGAUUGACUAAAGAAAAUAUUUCCCACUUGUAAUUGAUCUCUCUGCAGAAUGAUGGACUCCAUAUAGUUUGGAAAUGACCUUAUAAGACUUAUAGAGGAACAGAUGAUUCUCUGUUUUGUCCUGACAAGUAAACCCUUAUCGUUCAAAGAUGGAUCCCUUUUCUUAUUAUAUGACUGUAGAUUUAAAUGAAGAAAAUAGAAAUAGAAAAGAAUGUUUAAACCUCUGUGGUGAGAAACAAUGUGAAUGAAGGAGGGGAGUAAAAUCUCCACGAGCUUUUUCUCUCUCACAGGGAGGAAGAUGAGCUGUAGUUAAAUCAGCAUGAUGUCACACAGGGAACAUCCCAUCACCGGCAGCUGCUUCCUGUUGCCAGUAGCAACCACACCGACACAGUUUCCUGUCAGUUUGUGUGGGGUUAUCUAACAUCACCGGUGCUGGGUGUGUGGCUGUAAACUGCUACACCCGCUGAAUGAGGAAACAUGGAGCUCAGAGACGUUGUUUUGCUCAUGCAAGAGGAGAGAAGGUCAGCAUAAAAGAAGAAGAAAUGAAGUGUUCCAGGUCUGAUUCCAGGUCUCAUCCAGGUUUGUUCCAGGUCUGAUUCCAGAUGUUAUCCAGGUUUGUUCCAGGUCUGAUUCCAGGUUUUAUCCAGGUUUGUUCCAGGUCUGAUUUGCAGGUCUUAUCCAGGUUUGUUCCAGGUCUGAUUCCAGGUCUUCUACAAGUUUGUUCCAGGUCUGAUUCCAGGUCUUAUCUAGGUUUGUUCUAGGUCUGAUUCCAGGUCUUAUCCAGUUUGUUCUAGGUCUGAUUCCAGGUCUUAUCCAGGUUUGUUCUAGGUCUGAUUCUAGGUCUUAUCCAGGUUU